UACGAAGGGUGCAAGCGUUAAUCGGAAUUACUGGGCGUAAAGCGUGCGCAGGCGGUCAUGCAAGACAGAUGUGAAAUCCCCGGGCUCAACCUGGGAACCGCAUUUGUGACUGCAAGGCUGGAGUGCGGGAGAGGGGGAUGGAAUUCCCCGUGUAGCAGUGAAAUGCGUAGAUAUGCGGAGGAACACCGAUGGCGAAGGCAAUCCCCUGGGCCUGCACUGACGCUCAUGCACGAAAGCGUGGGGAGCAAACAGG
Molecule: ribosomal RNA, 253 nt
Filed under: uncultured bacterium
Lineage: Bacteria
Description: partial 16S ribosomal RNA
Rfam family: Bacterial small subunit ribosomal RNA
Source: RNAcentral